RNAcentral lists this ribosomal RNA (372 nucleotides) under uncultured organism. RNAcentral describes it as "bacterial SSU rRNA". It matches the Rfam family "Bacterial small subunit ribosomal RNA", at positions 526 to 896 of the family's 1533-position model. The record is from RNAcentral.
CGUAGGGGGCAAGCGUUGUCCGGAUUUAUUGGGCGUAAAGCGCUCGCAGGUGGUCCGCUGCGUCGUGCGUGAAAGACCCCGGCUCAACUGGGGGGCGUCGUGCGAUACGGGCGGACUGGAGGCCAGUAGGGGGAUGCGGAAUUCCGGGUGUAGUGGUGGAAUGCGUAGAGAUCCGGAGGAACACCAGCGGCGAAGGCGGCAUCCUGGACUGGUCCUGACACUCAGGAGCGAAAGCGUGGGGAGCGAUCCGGAUUAGAUACCCGGGUAGUCCACGCCGUAAACGAUGAGCACUAGGUGUCGGGGGUAUCGACCCCCUCGGUGCCGCAGCCAACGCGAUAAGUGCUCCGCCUGGGGACUACGGCCGCAAGGCUA